This 1500-nucleotide ribosomal RNA is filed under the name human gut metagenome. RNAcentral describes it as "bacterial LSU rRNA". It matches the Rfam family "Bacterial large subunit ribosomal RNA", at positions 975 to 2473 of the family's 2925-position model. The record is from RNAcentral.
GCACGGGAGACAGAGCACCGGGUGCUAACGUCCGGACUCAAAAGGGAAACAACCCAGACCGCCGGCUAAGGUCCCCAAUAACAGCUAAGUGGAAAACGAAGUGGAAAGGCCGUGACAACCAGGAAGUUGGCUUAGAAGCAGCCAUCCUUCAAAGAAAGCGUAAUAGCUCACUGGUCGAGUCCUUCUGCGCGGAAGAUGUAACGGGGCUAAGCUGUUAACCGAAGCCGCGGAUGCACUGAUUAUUCAGUGCGUGGUAGGGGAGCGUUCUGUAAGUCUGCGAAGGCGGUUCGAGAGGACUGCUGGAGAUAUCAGAAGUGCGAAUGCUGACAUGAGUAACGUUAAAGCAGGUGAAAAGCCUGCUCGCCGUAAGCCCAAGGAUUCCUGCUCUACGUUCAUCGGAGCAGGGUGAGUCGGCUCCUAAGGUCAGGCCGAAAGGCGUAGCCGAUGGGAAUCAGGUUAAUAUUCCUGAACCUGCGUCAGAUGCGAUGGGGGGACGGAGCAUGAAAGAUCAUCCGGGUGUUGGAUGUCCCGGUUGACGAGCGUAGGAGGUCUGCAGGCAAAUCCGCAGACGCAUCUCCAAGGCGAAGUCACGUGCCGCCACGGCGGCGAAGUGAUCGGAAGUGCUUCCAAGAAAAGCCUCUAAGCACCAGUCUGACGCGGACCGUACCGCAAACCGACACUGGUGGGCGAGCUGAAUAUGCUCAGGCGCUUGAGAGAACUCGGGAGAAGGAACUCGGCAAAUUGACACCGUAACUUCGGAAGAAGGUGUGCCGUAGUACCGUGAGAGGAGAGACACCUUGAGCGGGAAUCGGUCUCAGAGAAUAGGUGGCUGCGACUGUUUAUUAAAAACACAGCACUCUGCAAAGUCGAAAGACGACGUAUAGGGUGUGAUGCCUGCCCGGUGCUGGAAGAUUAAUUGAUGGGGUGAGAGCCCUUGAUCGAAGUCCCAGUAAACGGCGGCCGUAACUAUAACGGUCCUAAGGUAGCGAAAUUCCUUGUCGGGUAAGUUCCGACCUGCACGAAUGGCAUAACGAUGGCCACACUGUCUCCUCCCGAGACUCAGUGAAGUUGAAAUGUUUGUGAUGAUGCAAUCUACCCGCGGCUAGACGGAAAGACCCCAUGAACCUUUACUGCAGCUUUGCAUUGAACUGUGAACCGAUUUGUGUAGGAUAGGUGGGAGGCAGAGAAGAGGCCACGCCAGUGGUCUUGGAGCCGACCUUGAAAUACCACCCUGAUUUGUUUGCGGUUCUAACCACGGACAGUGAUCCUGUCUUGGGACCGUGCAUGGUAGGCAGUUUGACUGGGGCGGUCUCCUCCUAAAGGGUAACGGAGGAGUACGAAGGUACGCUAGGUACGGUCGGAAAUCGUGCUGAUAGUGCAAUGGCAAAAGCGUGCUUGACUGCGAGAGCAACAACUCGAGCAGAUGCGAAAGCAGGUCAUAGUGAUCCGGUGGCUCUGAAUGGAAGGGCCAUCGCUCAACGGAUAAAAGGUACUCUGGGG